CACCAAAACAGACCCAGGCACCCUCUCAAGAGGAAAAGAGAAAUGCCUAAUCCCAACACUCUUUGUUUAAAAUUCCCUUCUUCUCCUAGCUAAACGAUUCAACGUUAUCCAUCUACCAUCGAUUUUCCUUCAUUGGCUUGUUCCUUGAAGGAAAAUCAUAGAUUUGAAACAUUAUUAAAUAGCUAGGGCUUUUGAAGCCAUACAGAAAUUUGGUUGCAGAUUGGGUAUCCAACAAGGACAACACCGUUCGAAGCUUCUCAAUCUUCAUUGGAGGAGCUUCACUCUUAGCUGUGCUCUUCAAUCGCGCCGCUUCUGGUAUAGCUCUAUUUGCCAGUGCCAGUAGGUAAAUUGCUCUUCAUUGUGUGGGUUUCUUUCAAUUGAUUAAUUGCAAAUGUGAAAAAUAAUGGGUGGAAGUUGAUUAUUUCUGUAAGAUUUCCAUCUACCAAAUGCUUGAUGCAAUUAGGGUGCUGGAGAUUAACCCAAGACACCCAAUCAUAAAGGAGCUCCGUGAGAGAGUAGUCAAGGACCCUGAGGAAAAGCCAGAAUCACACAAGUGGAUGCGUACACCUAUCAAUAAUUAUGAUAAAUUAUUUGAGCUUCAUGGUGAGCAAAGAGCUACUGGUGAAUAUGCAGAAAGUGCAAGGGAAAAAGUUAGAAGUUGGCAAAGAGAGGGAAGUUCAUCCCAAAUUGAUUUGAAUGACACAUUUGUAAUGUAGUAAUGCCUGAUAGUGAUAUCAAUUGGAGUAAUGAGGUUACUAAUAACGAAUUGAAUAGUCCAGAACCUUCACUGCAAUCUUAAGGCACUUCUUCUAGAGGUUCCAAAUGCAAAACUUCUAUCAUGGAAAUGUUAGACAAUAUGAAAAAUUGAACUCAGGAAUUGAACGUGUCUCUGAGGUCUUGGAAAGAGGAAACAUGAUUGUAGAAAAGUCUCUUGCAAUUCUAGAAAGUGGCUAACCCCAAUAUUAUAAGGAGGAAGAGUUAUUUGCAGAGUUGGAAUCAAUACGAGUCCAUCCAGAUUUUGUGAUGACUGCUUAUUGUUAUCUUUCAAAAAAUCCAUCAGCAACGAGAUCCUUUUUUGGUGUUUCGCGUGCAAGGUGAUUAGAAUGGUUGAUGAGGAUUAUGUCUGACAAGUGACUAGAAGAUUCAAACCAAUUGAAUGCAUGUGGUAACACUAAUAUUAUCUAGAAGCUUUAGGUAAAUUGAAUGCAUGUGGUAACACUGACAUUAGCUAGUGUUAUAUGAACUUAUUUUGUAUGAUUGUGUUGGGUAAGAAUGCUAAACAGUAUUUUGAUUAAUACAUUAUGAUUUAAUGAUUAUUAGGAGUUAUCGUUAAUAUCAGAACUAGAUUCUACUUGAAUCGUUUAUGAUAAGGAAAUGGUAUUUGAUCGU
Molecule: long non-coding RNA, 1389 nt
Organism: Hevea brasiliensis (rubber tree)
Lineage: Eukaryota; Viridiplantae; Streptophyta; Magnoliopsida; Malpighiales; Euphorbiaceae
Exons: 2
Source: RefSeq, a predicted model, not a curated record